CAGCCGCCACGGUAAUACGGAGGGAGCUAGCGUUGUUCGGAAUUACUGGGCGUAAAGCGCGCGUAGGCGGUUACUCAAGUCAGAGGUGAAAGCCCGGGGCUCAACCCCGGAACUGCCUUUGAAACUAGGUAACUAGAAUCUUGGAGAGGUCAGUGGAAUUCCGAGUGUAGAGGUGAAAUUCGUAGAUAUUCGGAAGAACACCAGUGGCGAAGGCGACUGACUGGACAAGUAUUGACGCUGAGGUGCGAAAGCGUGGGGAGCAAACAGGAUUAGAUACCCGCUAGUCCCUGUCUCUUAUACA
Molecule: ribosomal RNA, 301 nt
Filed under: uncultured bacterium
Lineage: Bacteria
Description: partial 16S ribosomal RNA
Rfam family: Bacterial small subunit ribosomal RNA
Source: RNAcentral